Molecule: long non-coding RNA, 346 nt
Organism: Haplochromis burtoni (Burton's mouthbrooder)
Lineage: Eukaryota; Metazoa; Chordata; Actinopteri; Cichliformes; Cichlidae
Exons: 2
Source: RefSeq, a predicted model, not a curated record
CAGUAAAUGAAGGAGACUAUGUGAACAGGAAGUCUUUCCACAGCAUUAAUGUACAGAUCAUAUAUGAUGCUGCCAACAUUAUCACAAAUGUGGAAGCCAAGUGGCCAGGCUCUGUUCAUGACUCACAAAUAUUCCGUGAAUGUACACUGAGCACAAAAUUUGGACAUGGUGAGUUGAGAAUACUUUAAAAUAUAUAAAGACCAAUUGCUUCAGGGACAUUUGAACUGAAGUGUAUCCUUCUGUCUUAGGAGAGUUCACUGGCUACUUGCUUGGUGAUAGGGGGUAUCCAUGUUUACCCUAUUUGCUUACCCCUUACCCUGACCCUGAACCGGGCCCACAGCAGCGA